UGUUCUUCCUACAACACCGUCCCACACGCAUUCUCUCUCUCUGUAAAUAUUUGCUCAAAAUCUCUCAUUUACUCUUCGAACCUUCGUCUAUGGCGGCCAACAGAUUCGCGACUUUGAUCCACCGCAAAACCAACCGGAUCACUCUCGUCCUCGUCUACGCUUUCCUCGAAUGGACUCUCAUCUCUUUCAUCCUCCUCAACUCUCUAUUCUCUUAUUUCAUCCUCAGAUUCGCUGAUUACUUCGGCCUCAAGCGACCUUGCCUCCUCUGCUGUAGACUCGAUCGGUUCUUCGACCCCUCAGGGAAAUCUCCUUCCCACAAAGAUCUCCUCUGCGACGAUCACGUUCACGCCCUCGAGAUUUCUACAGUUCCCUCGAAACCUCUUCUUGAAUCCAAAGGUUCCGUACAAGGUCGUGUUGAAUUCCCAAAGGAGUUGGUCUCUUGUGCUCCGAUCGAGCCUGAUCUGAGGGAUGAUAAAGGUUAUAGCUUUAUUGACACGAAUCUGAUCGGAGAUGAUGUUCAGGUUCACAAUGGUCGGCUUUUCACCGAACGGUCCCGAUCUAUCUUCGUCCUGGAAGAACACGUAGGAUCCGCGCCUCUGAUUGAUUCUCAGGAACGAAGCUUCACAAAGGAUGAACAAGAAACAGAGGAGAACGAAGAUGUUGAUGUAGAAGAAGAAGAAACAGAGGAGAAGGUUGUUGAUGAAGAAGAAACAGAGGAGAAGGUUGAUGAUGAUGAUGAAGAUGAAGAAGAAACAGAGGAGAAGGAUGUUGAUGAUGAAGAAGAAACAGAGGAGAAGGUUAUUGAUGAUGAUGAAGAGUUCUCUUGCUUUGUAUCGAGUUUCGACUGUAACAGAGAAGUUGUUGUAACGGAGAAGGAAGAAGAAGAAAACAGAGUGGAUCUAGCUGAUGAAACGGUUGAUAAACCUGCGCCGGCGACAAACCUGGAGUUCUACAUUGACGACGAGGACUGCCAUUUGAUUCCUGUCGAAGAAUUCUACAAACCUAGCGAGGAAGUCCGAGAGAUCUCCGACGUUAACGGUGACUUUAUCCUCGAUUUCGGCGCUGAACCUGAUUUCGCGGCGGCGGCGGAGGAAGGCGUGAUGUUACCUUCCGACGAGAUCUCCGCGCUUUCCUCGCCGGGAGAACCGAAACGCGAAGAGGCUGUAACGAAUCAAGGUGCUUUGUUAAUGUCUGUUUGUCCUGAUCAACAACAACAACCUGAACCUGACUUCGCGGCGGCGGAAGGGGAGGUGGAAGACGUGGGGUUAUCUUCCACGUUUCCCUCGCCGGAGGAAUCGGAACCGGAGAACGCUAAGACGACUCAAGGUGAUUUGUUAAUAUUCAUUUGUCCUGAUCAACAACAAUCCGAACCGGACUCCGCGGCGGCGACGACGGCGGAGGAAGACGUGGGAUUAUCAUCAGACGAGACAUCCGCGGCUCCCUUGCCGGGAGAAUUAAAACAGGACGAGGCUGAGACGAAACAAGAUUCUCCGACAGAUGAUGAGUCAUUGCAAACGCAGACCGACGACGAUGAAACAGACGCAGACGUUUCAAUAGGCACAGAGAUUCCUGAUCACGACCAAAUCGGAGGUGACCAAUCCCACCAACUCAUCAUUCCUCAAGACAACGACGAUGACAAUGAUCAUUGUAAUCAUACAUUGGAGUUCAGAACAGUUGAUAUUGAGACCAGAAGACCUGUCUUACACGCCAACAAAGAGCGGCUUCUCGAAACUUCAAACUGUCUACACAACGCUAUGUUUCAACUAGAUCGAACAGAACCAGAAGCCAACCUUGAAGGAUCACUCACCGUGGCCAAGCUGAAGUCGGAGUUGGAAGAAGAGAGAAAGGCUCUCAACGCUCUAUACGAGGAGCUGGAGGAAGAGAGGAGCGCGUCCGCCACCGCAGCCAACGAAACAAUGGCGAUGAUCAAUCGAUUACACGAGGAGAAAGCCGCGAUGCAGAUGGAGGCGCUGCAGUACCAGAGGAUGAUGGAGGAGCAAUCCGAGUUCGACCAAGAAGCCUUGCAGCUGUUGAACGAGGUCAUCGUGAAGCGAGAGAAGGAGAUUGCAGAGCUGGAGAAGGAGCUAGAGGUCUGUAGAAAGAGAUUGGAAGAGUAUGAGGCUAAAGAGAGGAUGGGGAUGAUGAUGAGGAGAAUGAGAGACUCCUCCGUUGAUUCGUAUAGAAACAAUGAGGGUUCAGAUGAGAACAACGGAGAGUUAGGGCAUAAGAGCGUUGAAGGAGAGAGUGAGAUGGAGAACACUCCCGUUGAUGUUGUGCUUCGUCUCGAUGAGUGUUUAGAUGAUUACGAAGGAGAGAGGCUUUCUAUUCUUGGGAGGUUGAAGUUUCUUGAAGAGAAACUCACAGCUCUUAAUGAUGAAGAGGACAAUGAAGAAGAAGCUAAAACGUUUGAGAGUAAUGGUAGCAUCAAUGGAAACGGGCAUGUUCAUGAUAAGGAGACCAAUGGGAAGCAUAGAGUCCUCAAGUCAAAGAGACUACUUCCUCUCUUUGAUGCAGUUGAUGGAGAGAUUGGGAACGGAGACCACUAUGAGAACGGUGUUGAUGAAUCGGAGAAAGGUGAGAUUGUUAACGUGGAGGGAGAAGUUGAUGAGCUAUACGAAAGACUAGAAGCUUUGGAGGCGGAUAGAGAGUUCUUGAGACAUUGUGUUGGCUCAUUGAAAAAAGGGGACAAGGGUGUUCAUCUCCUCCAUGAGAUUCUACAACAUCUACGUGAUCUCAAGAAUAUUGAUCUAAUUCGUGUAAGAGAAAAUGAAGACAUGAGUUUUUGAGUUUGGGUUUGGGUUUGAGUUUGAGUUUGAGUUCACUCUUUAUAUAUAUAUGCAUGUGGUGGCAUGAAGAGAACAAAUCAUACAGGUUAGGGAGUGACUUUGUUGCGUGGGAGGCAAGGAACAAGAAGAAGAGGUCUUAGAUGGAGAAGAAGAAAAUGGCACAAAAGUCUCGGAUAAAAUAUCAAUCUGAUUCUCUUAUGUUGUGUCAGAUGAGAAUGUCCGUCUUUUCAUUUGUUUUAAUUCUAUUUUUUGGUUUUUAUUAUAAAAAGUGAAGAUUUACUAUAUAAAAAGAGAGGAGUGUGAGCAUAAGUUUUCACUUUUUUAUUUGUCUUUAUGAGUGGUAAUAGAAAAAAAGUUAGAAUGAUGAGUGUAUGUGUGUGUAGUGUAGUGAGUAGUAAGGCGAGAUAUUGCUAUUACAAAAAGCCAAAGGGCAAGCUGUCAAAUUCUUGGAUGUUUGUGGCAGAGCUUGGAAUGAUUUCAACAAAGAUGCCAGCUCCAAUGUACAUAAUGGUUUUGUUUUAUUGGACUUUUCAGAACAUUUAGGAACUUUCCGGGUGAGUUUUGAAUCACUGUUUUAUAAGUGGGGUAAGUAACCUCUUCAUUUGUUUUCUUUUGGAUUGUAACUUGGUAGCACUUACUCAUGUAACUCGCUUUGCAAAGACGAGUCCUUUGUUCGUAUUACCUUUUGUAUUGUUUUUAUUUGUGUAUUUUCAAAACUGAUUAUGUUUAGACAAGUGGUUGUAAAUUGUAAUGCAAGUUGUUCUAGGAUCGA
RNA transcript from Brassica napus (rape), 3558 nucleotides. It is a transcript of the gene named myosin-binding protein 2, with no coding region annotated. NCBI's taxonomy places the organism in Eukaryota, Viridiplantae, Streptophyta, Magnoliopsida, Brassicales, Brassicaceae. The transcript has 3 exons. The record is from RefSeq and is a predicted model, not a curated record.